ACAGAGUUCAUGCCCUUACGGGUAGAUCUCCCACCCUAUGUUAUUAUUACUUUGUUGCUUAGGCGGGCCGUCAGGCUCACGCCCGGCUACCGGCCCCGGCUGGUAAGCGCCCGCCAGAGGACCCAAAACCCUGAUUAUUAGUGUCGUCUGAGUACUAUAUAAUAGUUAAAACUUUCAACAACGGAUCUCUUGGUUCUGGCAUCGAUGAAGAACGCAGCGAAAUGCGAUAAGUAAUGUGAAUUGCAGAAUUCAGUGAAUCAUCGAAUCUUUGAACGCACAUUGCGCCCCUUGGUAUUCCGAGGGGCAUGCCUGUUCGAGCGUCAUUACAACCCUCAAGCCUGGCUUGGUAUUGGGCUUCGCCACUCACCUGGCGGGCCUUAAAAUCAGUGGCGGUGCCGUCGAGGCCCUGAGCGCAGUAAAUAUCCUCGCUAUAGGGACCCGGCGGUUGCUGGCCAUCAACCCCCAACUUUCUAAGUUUGACCUCGGAUCAGGUAGGGAUACCCGCUGAACUUAA
This 514-nucleotide ribosomal RNA is filed under the name uncultured fungus. Its description in RNAcentral is "eukaryotic LSU rRNA". The stretch from base 170 to 323 matches the Rfam family "5.8S ribosomal RNA". Lineage: Eukaryota; Fungi. The record is from RNAcentral.